CUACGGGCCGCUGCAGUGAGGAAUAUUGGACAAUGGGGGAAACCCUGAUCCAGCAAUGCCGCGUGUGUGAAGAAGGCCUGCGGGUUGUAAAGCACUUUCGGUUGGGAGGACUGCUUCUAGCACUAAUAUUGUUGGAAGUUGACGUUACCUUCAGAAGAAGCACCGGCUAACUCCGUGCCAGCAGCCGCGGUAAUACGGAGGGUGCAAGCGUUAAUCGGAAUUACUGGGCGUAAAGCGCGCGUAGGCGGCUAGAUCAGUCGGGUGUGAAAGCCCCGGGCUUAACCUGGGAACUGCAUCCGAUACUGUCUAGCUUGAGUACAGGAGAGGAGAGUGGAAUUCCACAUGUAGCGGUGAAAUGCGUAGAUAUGUGGAGGAACACCAAUGGCGAAGGCAGCUCUCUGGCCUGAUACUGACGCUAAGGUGCGAAAGCGUGGGGAGCAAACAGGAUUAGAUACCCGGGUAGUC
RNAcentral lists this ribosomal RNA (465 nucleotides) under uncultured bacterium. Its description in RNAcentral is "partial 16S ribosomal RNA". It matches the Rfam family "Bacterial small subunit ribosomal RNA", at positions 339 to 795 of the family's 1533-position model. The record is from RNAcentral.